GAUCUACAGUAAUUUUAAGAAUGGAACUGGUACAUACUUUAUGUACAGUGUAGUUUGACUUAUAGGUGUAUGGAAUAAAGAAAUAACAUAAAACAUGCCAGCUUUCCCUAGGAUUUACUACUUAAGGGUGUGAGGUCCCCAGUUUUACUUAAAAUGGAAGGUUAAGUAAAAUUAUAGUAAAAUAUUUGCUCAUUUUAUAAUUUCGUAAUUUUAGUACAAUUAAAGGUGUAUCGUUCGUCCAGCUAUUGUCAGAAAGCGUCUUUUUCCUGGUAAGUCACAGCAACCCAGAGCCUUCCCAGAAACACAGGGGGCAAAGUGCUCUUUGAAGGCAGAAGGAACCCAUUACAUAGAAUGAUAUUAGAUAGUCUCAUCCUGCACAAAGGCCUUGCAUUCUAUGUCCUGCAUGCAAUUUGUUACACAGAUUUGUUUUUCCUUUAAGUGUUUUAUUAAACUCCAACUUUAGAUGGCCCUGGAUAUUUCCCAAUAUCUUUUCUUACAUUUUAUGGGUUAGAAUGUUUAGAAUAGAUUAGAAUCAUCUUGUUUGUAUUGCAUACAGUGUAUGUAAUCCAUAUUGUACCUUGGUCUUGAAAAAGUAAAAUAUACUGUAAAGUCCAAGUUCUUCUCUUGUUUUUCAGUGUUAGUCCAGAUAUCACUUGCUAUAUGGCUUUUUUAUAGCCAAUACAAUAUAUUAUAUUAGGUAUAUACUGUAUGAGGUAGCACAUACUGUAUAGCACAUAAAUACCUAAUGAAUUCUGACCUAAUUGAGGUAAGUAGUGCAUUAAAGGCAAAAACAGCAAAGGGAAGCUCCGAACGGCUAAAUAUCAAUUUGACACAAUAAGAGGCUUGUUACUGAAUGACUUCAGUUCUGAAAGUGAAUAAGCAAAUUGAAUUAUUAAGAUGAUUUGUUGUUUAAACCAUGGUAUUCUGUGCACCUAUCACAUUUACCUUUCAAACAAAAAAAUACUUUUUAAGAUAGUUGGCACUAUCUUUCUUAUUAAUGAGGUUAUAAGGCACCUGAAUGGUUGUUUCCAGUAGCCUGUAGCUGCAAUUUCCUAAGCAACAGUACUGGUGGAACUGGUCGGGCUUGACUUGGUCCAAUAUUAAACUGGGAUUGUUGCAUAGCAACAGCCUCUUGGAUCGGUCAGGCAACUCGGAGUAAAUGAGACGCGGCACACUUUGCAUCAGGAGAAUAGCUCCUACCUGGAAGAUGCAGGUUCAAGCACCACAGUCAGAAUUUCUUCACUUUCCGGACAACAUAAGCUUCUGUAGGCCUGUUCCACUGGCACACCAGGGACACCAAGGACAGAGCUGGAGCGAGCAGAGAAAAUUACCCUCCGCUCCCUGGAGGAAUGUUUUUUGUGCAUUCUGGAUUGUGCGAAAUAUGCACAGUUAUACAAAAGGGCCCACAUGGCCACCUGCUCAAUGGGAGAGUUUCCUCACACAACAAAUAAUAUCAUGACAGCACCUGUGAGUUGGUCUGGCUCUCUUGUGUCAGUUAUAUUCCAAGACCAUUUCUUUUUUUUUUGACAGAAAGCUUUAUUUAUAUCAGGUUACAGUUUGUCUCUUUCAAAGCACUGUGCACGGGGACUACAAAACCAGACUGAGCUGCCCUCAUAUAGGAAUUGUACCUCCUAUUUGUGUACAGAUCUCCUACUGUAUGUGUGCAAUGAUAUGAAGAUCGCUGACGAUGUACCUGCACUUAUCUGUCUUUUAAUCUUACUUGUUCGUCUCAAAGCUGACUGAACGACCUAAAUUAAGAGGAGCAACGGAUAACUGUACCGAUAAAGGAGAAUUGUCAGUUUGCUUUUAUACAGAAAGGGAAAUGAGUUUGGUUUUUUUUUUCCUGAGUCAACUGAAUUUUUAUUUUCAUGUUGGUGGACUCUGGGAGAAAUGGCUGUGGUGUUUUCGAAUUAGGAGGUGGCAAACUCUGAUUCUGGCGCAUUUCGAAUCAAACAGAGGGCGCCCAGUAUGAAUCUGAUUUGGUAACAGCUGCCGUAACUGCAGUGUCUUAUCAGUUGAUCUAGCUUGCUUUCCUGCUGCCAUUUCACACUUGCUCUUUAGGCUUUCUGAAACAACGUUGGUCUUGGAUCCAGCAGGGGUGUUGCCUCAGUCUGCCUUGCCCUGCACCGUAGAACCAGGUAUUCCACACUUCGCUGUCCCGCUGCGCUUCAUACCUGGCCCACUCUGGCUUUCCUGAUAAGAAACGCUCUUCUUUUUGGGGUGAGUGCGUGCGUUGCCGUGGUUACCGAAACGCCUCCCUCACAGGCGUCAUCAUUGCAACCACCUCCACUGCGAACGGCGAGGCUAGCCUCCCGGCACAUUGUUUACGAGAUGAAAAGGAGAGCUCUUGUCGAUGCGGGCAGAUAAUGACCAAUUUGGGUCUGUCUUUUUUUUUUUUUUAUUCCAUGCUGUCCAUUCAGAACGAGAAAACCUAGUCAUUUCAGUCGUUUGUGGUGACAAAGCUGCUGAUCCAUUUCACAUGACAGUCAGGCCAAUUUUGAUUUUCUUCCUUUUUUGUGAGGGUGUGUGACAGCCAAGGAAAGUCGCAGGUGCAGACUAAAAGAAUGAUGCAUUCUCCAUGUGUUCUGUUUUUCCUGACUCGUUUGAAACAGACCACAGAUAACAAUAGGGACCCAUUGUUUGGCAUAAAAGGGUGUUCGUAUUUGAAUCUACACCUCAUUGAAGAAGAGAGGGAGUAUAUGUAGUGGAGAAGUGUGUGACAUUGGAGAUGACAAAGAUUGUGUGUGAUUAUCUAUUUCGUGCUGAGGAUUAUUAUUUUUUCACAUUUGAAAAGCUGAAAAUCCUCUUUGGAUCCUUCAGAAAACCUCACAUACAAAGGUCCGAAGCAUCUACCCACUGCACGCAAAUGGACACAGCUGGAGUGGAAUUUGUGCCCUUUUGUUCUGAAAAUUGUGAGGCUGUUCUUCUCAGCUCACACUUUGACCUGCUUUCAUCCUGGGUCACUCUGGCAGCUGGCACCAAAAUAUUUGACCCAAGUCGUCAGUGAUUCACUUUUUUCAAAGGUUGCUUCUCAAACCAUUUGUGCUCCUGUGCCAGGCUGGACGAUGGAGAAAUAUAUAUAUAUAUAUUUUUCUCGGGGGGUUAAGAAGAAAGGCGAAUUUGUUAGACUGUCAUACCCAAGCCUGGAGCACCUCCGGAGAGUCUGUUCUCCUUUUUACUUGUUCUGUGUACAAUUUGAUGAUAGACGUGGGAUGUUAAAUACGAUUUAAAAAAAAACUCAAAAUGUGUCAUAUGUUUGUGAUCUGUCUCAAUCAUUAGCAUGCUUUAUACAAGAACGAGCAGCUCGUAAAAUGGAGUUUAUAAGAAAGGUUCUGGAGCCAUGACAACACCCAGUUGCAUCUGCUUCAGCUGUCAGUAAUUUGAAAUCAAUCCUGACGUCAUUUCCACACCAAAACAUUAUAAAUACUGAGUGCUCACAUUUAGCUGUUGCCAAUUGAAGACAAGCUCUGACCUCAGGGAGAAACCCUGAAAUCAGGAAAUUCCCACCUGCCAUGUGAUCCGGCACCCUGACUCCACUCUUCUCUCAUCUUUAAAGAAAGGCUCGGAGUGGUGAGAAGGUGGGCAGACAUUAGCUCACUGGGAGACGUCUGACACUGGUGCCAUGAACUGCAGCUCCAACAGGAAGCCCGUUGACACCACAGAGGGGAGGAGGUCUUCGGUUGUCAGGGAUCAUGACCCAGAACUCAAUGACAGGCCCACCUGCCCAAGCUGACGCACAACAGGAGGAGCGUGGUAGAGUGGCUCAGUCCCCCCACAGCUCCCCACAGGACCCCCAGGGCCCGUGGUGGGAGAAUCUAUGGAGGGCCGUGGUGACCGCUGGCUGCACCGUCUGCGUUUGUGUCUUCUCCCAAAUAGCGGGUGUUUGGAUCUUGUACAUGUGCAAUGGAUAUGAAGCCUUCCCUGCAGCUCACAAAGUGUUGGAUCUGAUGCAGUACCUGCUGACACCACUAGGAGCAUACAAUUCAGUGGAGGAGACAUCCCCAUCCUUACAGAAAGAGCUGUGGAGAAUGGAAAGCUUGUGCCCCCUGCUGGCUACAGUGUUCCUUGGCAUAGUUAUCCUUGGGAUAGGGAUACUCUACUGUCUGAGGACGAUCGCUCCAGGGAUCCCUGCUUUUCCUGAUGACCGCCGCCAGUCCAUGAGCCGCCAGCCAUCCUUCACCUACUCCGAGUGGACUGACGGCAAGCAGGAGGACUUCUUUGACCUGAACCCUGUGCCCGAGACUCCUGUGUUUGACUGCUUUAUGGACAUGAAGCCCGAGGCCGAUCCAGCCACACUGACUGUCAAGCCUGUCGGCCUGCAGGAGAGGAGGGGGUCCAACGUGUCCCUGACCCUGGACAUGUGCACCCCUGGCUCCACGGAGUCCUAUGGGUGCAUGCUGUCCCCGCGGGAGCAGUCGGCGCGCGAGUACCUGCAGAGAGCCACCAACGUGCUGACAGCGGCAGAGCUGCACGAGCGGGCGAUGGACUCCUUCACCCUGCAGGCCGAGUUCUUCGAGACACCUAUGAACUUUGUGGACCCUAAGGAAUAUAACAUCCCUGGUGUUGUUCGGAAGAAUCGAUACAAAACAAUUCUUCCCAAUACUCAUAGCAGAGUCUGCCUUAAAGCAACUGAUGAAGAUGAUUUUCUUAGUACAUACAUCAAUGCUAACUAUAUAAGGGGCUAUGGGGGACAGGAAAAAGUCUAUAUUGCAACUCAGGGGCCCACAGUUAACACUGUCAGUGACUUCUGGAGAAUGGUAUGGCAGGAGAAGUCUCCUAUCAUCGUCAUGAUAACCAACAUCGAGGAGAAAAAUGAGAAAUGUACUGAAUACUGGCCAGAAGACAGUGUGACCUAUGAAGGAAUUGAAAUGACUGUAAACCAGGUGAUACAGGCAGAUGACUACAGCCUGAGACUUAUAACUCUAAAGAGCGAGGGAGAGGAGCGGGGUCUCAGACACUACUGGUACACAUCCUGGCCAGAUCAGAAGACCCCUGACAAGGCCCCCCCGCUACUGGAGCUGGUCCAGGAGGUGGAGGAGGCCCAGGAGCAAGCCCCUCCAGGGAGCGGUCCGGUCAUCGUCCACUGCAGUGCAGGGAUUGGCCGGACUGGCUGCUUUAUCGCCACCACCAUUGGCUGCAAACAACUGAAGAACGAGGGGGUUGUAGACAUUCUGAAGACCACCUGCCAGCUGCGUCUGGACCGAGGAGGAAUGAUUCAGACGUCGGAACAGUACCAGUUUGUUCACCAUGUCCUCAGCCUGUACGAGAAACAGCUUUCUCACCCCACGGAAGAAUAACUCUCACCCUCUUGCCAUCUGCCCUGAGAGCCUGGGGCAUCUCGGAUUCCAGCAUACAGCCAUCUCCUGCCUAUCAAGUUUGGGUAACCCUGGAGACCCUGUGAGAACCCCCUGGCCGGACCCUGCUCCACUUCUCUUCUCUGCAUCGCGCUCAUUUCUACACAUUUACUCAUUAGUACUAAUGAAGUGUGGAGGCGUUUAUCUGCUCCUUCGUUGCUGGAGGGCCUUUUUGUAAGUAAAAUAGCUUGACAAUACUCGGCAGGGGGAAAGAGAAGUCAGAAAGGAUUUCCUAUCUGUACCCCUCAACUCACCUGAGAGGAACAUGGCCAACAGGUCAACACAUUAUUUCAAUAUCUUCAAGUUUUACAGAAAUGCCUUUCCCAUUUUUAACCAUCAUUUUCUUCUUUUUUUGUUGCCAAAAUGAACAAAUGUGACAUUUUUCCUUUCUUGGACAUUUUAGAGACAGCCAGCUCUUGCACUCUUUUCUUUCCUCUCUUCGCAGACGGCACACACGGUCCACAGCGGACGGUUUGGUUAAUAACCGCGAGGCUACAGUUCGAGGUCCGCAAUAGGCACUUGAGAGAAAGCAGUUGUCAGCAGAGCUAGAAGACUGCCUUGCCUGUUGAGCAGAACUGAAUCUAUCCAGGCCGAAUAUCAACCAAAGGGUUGUGGGGGAGCUGGAGCCUGUCCCGGCAAGGCAGGGUA
This is a non-coding RNA of Lepisosteus oculatus (spotted gar), 6002 nucleotides long. The record is from RefSeq and is a predicted model, not a curated record. NCBI's taxonomy places the organism in Eukaryota, Metazoa, Chordata, Actinopteri, Semionotiformes, Lepisosteidae.